Molecule: long non-coding RNA, 391 nt
Filed under: Capsicum annuum
Lineage: Eukaryota; Viridiplantae; Streptophyta; Magnoliopsida; Solanales; Solanaceae
Description: long non-coding RNA (CANN_LNC022009)
Source: RNAcentral
CUGCAACUUUUUUGAUCAAGUUUGUUAAUAUUAGUGAUGUAAAUGUUAGUUAAACUGUUAGAUUAAUAGUGCAAAUGGGAUUAGUUCAUAAGUUAGUUAAGAUCUUUUGUUCACAAAGUUAGUUAUCAAGUUGAGUAGUUACUUGAAGUGUAUAUAUACUCUAGCAUGUACAACAUAAGAAAGAAGGUUGAAUAACAUUUCAAUAAGAUUUGGCUCUCCUUCCCCUAUUCUACCACAUCUCUACUCUCUUCUUCUUCUACUUUCUUUCUUCUCUGAUCUUAAUUUCUUUCUCUGCAUUGUGGAGUUCAUCAAGAACUGCCACUCUUACAUUGAUAAGUUCUUAAAAACGACAAAGUUAUCUAAAUUUGGUCAUGUACCUCGAAAAAGAUUA